AGAGUUUGAUCAUGGCUCAGGAUGAACGCUAGCGGCAGGCUUAAUACAUGCAAGUCGAGGGGCAGCGGGUUUGUAGCAAUACAGAUGCUGGCGACCGGCAAACGGGUGCGGAACACGUACUGAACCUUCCUUUAAGUGGGGAAUAGCCCAGAGAAAUUUGGAUUAAUACCCCGUAACAUAUAGAAGUGGCAUCACUUUUAUAUUAUAGCUCCGGCGCUUGAAGAUGGCAGUGCGGCCGAUUAGGUAGUUGGCGGGGUAACGGCCCACCAAGCCUGCGAUCAGUAACUGGUGUGAGAGCACGACCAGUCACACGGGCACUGAGACACGGGCCCGACUCCUACGGGAGGCAGCAGUAAGGAAUAUUGGUCAAUGGACGCAAGUCUGAACCAGCCAUGCCGCGUGGAGGAUGAAGGUCCUCUGGAUUGUAAACUUCUUUUAUCUGGGAAGAAAUCUGUUUUUUCUAAAGCAGUUGACGGUACCAGAUGAAUAAGCACCGGCUAACUCCGUGCCAGCAGCCGCGGUAAUACGGAGGGUGCAAGCGUUAUCCGGAUUCACUGGGUUUAAGGGGUGCGUAGGUGGAUUGGAAAGUCAGUGGUGAAAUCUCCGGGCUUAACUCGGAAACUGCCAUUGAUACUAUCAAUCUUGAAUACCGUGGAGGUCAGCGGAAUAUGUCAUGUAGCGGUGAAAUGCAUAGAUAUGACAUAGAACACCAAUUGCGAAGGCAGCUGGCUACACGAAUAUUGACACUGAGGCACGAAAGCGUGGGGAUCAAACAGGAUUAGAUACCCUGGUAGUCC
RNAcentral lists this ribosomal RNA (797 nucleotides) under uncultured bacterium. Its description in RNAcentral is "bacterial SSU rRNA". It matches the Rfam family "Bacterial small subunit ribosomal RNA", at positions 8 to 796 of the family's 1533-position model. The record is from RNAcentral.